RNAcentral lists this unclassified non-coding RNA (1796 nucleotides) under Zea mays. Its description in RNAcentral is "misc RNA Zm00001eb032440". Lineage: Eukaryota; Viridiplantae; Streptophyta; Magnoliopsida; Poales; Poaceae. The record is from RNAcentral.
CCUCGAUCGUGAUCCUUCAGCUAGGGCACCACCUCCACAAACCUCAGCAGCAUUGUCUCUUCCCGCUACGUCGUACGCCGACGCUGUUCGGUUCGGGAACGGAAGGGUGCAAGGGAACGGAGGGGGCACAAGGCUUGGGAACAUGUCAGGGAAUCGAUCUCAGGGGCCUUUUCAUGGAGGUAACCGGCAGGUCUUUGGAGGACCCAGUGCUCUGGUGGGGAAUAACCCGAUUUAUGCGGGAUUUGGCUCUAAUACAGGACCUCACCGGCUGGGAGCUCCUCAUGGUCAGGUUUUUGGAGUUGUUCCUGCGGCAACUCGUGGUCACGACGCUAUGGAUUUUGGAAGAUCAUCGCAAGGACAGCGGGCGAGGGGCUCCCGCAGUGCCAUAGCCAACAGAUGGCCUCGACCUUACGAUAGGCAGCAGCAACGACCAUUCUCUAGACAACCGCAGCAGGUACAGCCUGCCAUCACACCUUCUCCGAGUUUUGGUGGAGGUCUUCCCUCCUCUGCUCAACCAGCGAGGGCUCAGGUUCCUGCUGACAGUGUUGGAGGAAUGCCUCGCCUCAAACACGUGCAAAGUGCAGAGGUCAAGCAUGGGUUUCCGGCUACUGGGAAGUCAUUAAGUUCAGGGAUUAUGGCAACGGCUGAGUCGGGGGAGACUUUAGUACACCAGGCUGAGGUGGCGAAAGAUAAAGGCAAAUGGUGCUCCAGAUGUCGAAGUAAAGGACAUGUUUCAGCAGAAUGCUCUACGGUUCUUUUCUGCGACAUAUGUGAAGGUUCUGAUCAUGUUGCAGCUUCAUGACCGACUAAGAGGAAGCUGGAAGCCUAAACCUAUGGCGUACUCAGUCGGAUGCCAUGGACGGUCUGGUGUUUUAUCACAUUCCACAUGCUCCUUUUCCGUCGGCAAAAAAAAGAAGGAAAUUUGGCUCUGAUUUCAGUUGAAGGGGGUGUGCUCACUGAAGCGGAACUAGUCUCCCAUCUUGAACGGUUGGUGCCCGGAAAACAUUUUUGGGAUGCUCAAAUGAAAUCAUCGACUAUGUGGGUGACUGCUUUUCCUUCUAAAAAUGAGCUGAAGCGCACGGUAAAUUUUGGAGUGGCUGAUCUGAAGGAUGGGAGACACCUCAAAUUUGAUUUGUUUGAAGAGGAGGAGACGAGGAGUACUUGCAUUGUGGGAAGAACUGCCUCGUGUCAGCAUGCGGGUGCUUAGUUUGCCGGCUGUUCUUCGGGCGUAUGAGGUGUUGUGGGCUAUUGGCACUAUGUUCGGGGGAACGACCAAGAUGGACAUGGUGACAACUAGAAGAAACAACUUUGGGCGUUUUGACGUGGCCGUGCUUAAUCCGGUUAUCAUCCCGAGUGAGAUGGAUGUUGUUAUUGGGACCCGCUGGUUUGAACUAAAAUUCAGUGUUGAAAAUGAACCCCGCGGCGAGGCUGCUGCUACUCAGGAACAACAGUUCUCUGUAGCGGGUGGCCUUGGUGAUGGCUCUGUUCAUUUUAUGAAGCAAUACGAUUCUAGUUCAAGCAAGGUGGCUGAGGUUUUCUCCGGAAUUCCUUCUUGUAAUGCUUCUAGCUUGCAAGGAGAGAAGAUGGCUUGUGAUAUGGUGGAGGAUGAAGACCUUCUAGGAGGGCGCCAGGAGGCUGAUUGUGCCCUGUUGCUGCCAACAGUUCAGUAUGACAUCCAGGGGAGGCGCGUGUGGUGGUCCAUGUGCAACAGCCGAAUGCUAUGGGGGUUGACACUUUUGGUAACUCCUCUUCUAUCAUGCCGAAUAAUACAGAGAAAAGAGCAAUGGUCCCAGGUG